This 301-nucleotide ribosomal RNA is filed under the name uncultured bacterium. RNAcentral describes it as "partial 16S ribosomal RNA". It matches the Rfam family "Bacterial small subunit ribosomal RNA", at positions 510 to 808 of the family's 1533-position model. The record is from RNAcentral.
CACCGCCGCGGUAAUACGAAGGGUGCAAGCGUUACUCGGAAUUACUGGGCGUAAAGCGUGCGUAGGUGGUGGUUUAAGUCCGUUGUGAGAGCCCUGGGCUCAACCUGGGAAUUGCAGUGGAUACUGGGUCACUAGAGUGUGGUAGAGGAUAGUGGAAUUUCCGGUGUAGCAGUGAAAUGCGUAGAGACCGGAAGGAACAUCUGUGGCGAAGGCGACCACCUGGACUGAUACUGACACUGAGGUGCGAAAGCGUGGGGAGCAAACAGGAUUAGAUACCCCCGUAGUCCCUGUCUCUUAUACA